This 113-nucleotide non-coding RNA is filed under the name Clostridium magnum. Its description in RNAcentral is "SAM-I sequence". It matches the Rfam family "SAM riboswitch aptamer (S box leader)". Rfam says of the family: The SAM riboswitch is found upstream of a number of genes which code for proteins involved in methionine or cysteine biosynthesis in Gram-positive bacteria. The SAM riboswitch acts at the level of transcription termination control. The predicted structure consists of a complex stem-loop region followed by a single stem loop terminator region. RNAcentral also lists the same sequence under 1 other name. Lineage: Bacteria; Bacillati; Bacillota; Clostridia; Eubacteriales; Clostridiaceae. The record is from RNAcentral.
UUCUUAUCCAGAGAGGCUGAGGGACUGGCCCUAUGACGCCCGGCAACCUAAAUAUACCCAUUUGUAUAUUUAACGGUGCUAAUUCCAGCAGGUGAAAACCUGACAGAUGAGAA